GAUCAUGGCUCAGGAUGAACGCUGGCGGCGUGCCUAACACAUGCAAGUCGAACGAAGCAUAGUGGAAUGAGAUUCGUCGAAGGAAGCUAUGACUUAGUGGCGGACGGGUGAGUAAUGUAUGAGCAACCUGCCUUUCAGAGGGGGACAACAGUUGGAAACGACUGCUAAUACCGCAUAAUGUAUUUUAGAGGCAUCUCCGAAAUACCAAAGGAGCAAUCCGCUGAAAGAUGGGCUCAUAUCUGAUUAGUUAGUUGGCAGGGUAACGGCCUACCAAGACUGCGAUCAGUAGCCGGACUGAGAGGUUGAACGGCCACAUUGGGACUGAGAUACGGCCCAGACUCCUACGGGAGGCAGCAGUGGGGAAUAUUGGGCAAUGGGCGAAAGCCUCGACCCAGCAACGCCGCGUGAAGGAAGAAGGUCUUCGGAUUGUAAACUUCUUUUAUGAGGGACGAAGGACGUGACGGUACCUCAUGAAUAAGCCACGGCUAACUACGUGCCAGCCGCAGC
Molecule: ribosomal RNA, 507 nt
Filed under: uncultured bacterium
Lineage: Bacteria
Description: bacterial SSU rRNA
Rfam family: Bacterial small subunit ribosomal RNA
Source: RNAcentral